GUUCGCAGUUAUAGUAAGCCAUAGACAGUGGGAGCCAAGGUAGAAAUACUGAAGCCUAACAGAUGUUUACAUCAUCCCGCCGAGGUUGAUAAUCAAUUGCAGUGCAAUUGAUUUAGUUGACAAAGUUGACCAAGUAAACUUUGAAACGGUUAAUCACCCUUUGUGUGUCUGUGUGCAUACAAAGGGUUUUUUAUAUAUCA
This is a regulatory RNA element of 200 nucleotides. It matches the Rfam family "Ribosomal protein L10 leader". Rfam says of the family: This family is a putative r-protein leader autoregulatory structure found in B. subtilis and other low-GC Gram-positive bacteria. It is located in the 5' untranslated regions of mRNAs encoding ribosomal proteins L10 and L12 (rplJ-rplL). The record is from Rfam.